RNAcentral lists this long non-coding RNA (234 nucleotides) under Elaeis guineensis (African oil palm). Its description in RNAcentral is "long non-coding RNA (EGUI_LNC011987)". Lineage: Eukaryota; Viridiplantae; Streptophyta; Magnoliopsida; Arecales; Arecaceae. The record is from RNAcentral.
ACUCCUUCUUUAAGGCUGCGCAAAAGAAAGAAAACCUUUCUUCUUCCUUCUUUUUCUCUCAUUGGAAAGAAUUUUUUUUCUUCAAUUUUUUACUGUAUAACUAGCAGAGGAACCUCUCUUUGAUGCCUAAGAACCAGCAAUCAAGCUCCCACAAAAUCACUCCAAGAUGAAAAGGAGAAGAGGGAGUUGGCGUGUGGAGUUUGUUGGAUGCCCCUUAUUUUUUUUGUGGCGACA